UAUGUGAUCCUUGUGCCUUGUA
RNAcentral lists this non-coding RNA (22 nucleotides) under Arabidopsis thaliana (thale cress). The record is from RNAcentral. Lineage: Eukaryota; Viridiplantae; Streptophyta; Magnoliopsida; Brassicales; Brassicaceae.